RNAcentral lists this long non-coding RNA (221 nucleotides) under Musa acuminata (dwarf banana). RNAcentral's name for it is "long non-coding RNA (MACU_LNC000531)". Lineage: Eukaryota; Viridiplantae; Streptophyta; Magnoliopsida; Zingiberales; Musaceae. The record is from RNAcentral.
CUACUAUCAACCAAGUCCUUGCACCAAAAAGGUUGACAAGAGAAGAGCUUCAGGAGCGAUCUGCGAAGGGGUUAUGUUGGCACUACGACGAGUCAUGGAGCCGCGAGCAUCGCUGUAGAAAAGGGAGACUUCUUAUGAUUGAACCAGUAGAAGAAGAGGUCAUUGAACAUCCAGAAGAGAGCUUUGAACAUGAAGAAGAAGAUGUGGAAGAAGAGCCACAA